UUACACCGGAAGGGCUUGGCC
Molecule: unclassified non-coding RNA, 21 nt
Filed under: Mus musculus (house mouse)
Lineage: Eukaryota; Metazoa; Chordata; Mammalia; Rodentia; Muridae
Description: oocyte_clustered_small_RNA11666
Source: RNAcentral